RNAcentral lists this ribosomal RNA (253 nucleotides) under uncultured bacterium. Its description in RNAcentral is "partial 16S ribosomal RNA". It matches the Rfam family "Bacterial small subunit ribosomal RNA", at positions 524 to 776 of the family's 1533-position model. The record is from RNAcentral.
UACGGAGGAGGCAAGCGUUAUCCGGAUUUAUUGGGCGUAAAGCGUCCGCAGGCGGUUGGUCAAGUCUGCUGUCAAAGCGCGAGGCUUAACCUCGUAUGGGCAGUGGAAACUGAUGAACUUGAGGGUGAUAGGGGCAGAGGGAAUUCCUAGUGUAGCUGUGAAAUGCGUAGAGAUUAGGAAGAACACCGGUGGCGAAAGCGCUCUGCUGGGUCGCACCUGACGCUGAGGGACGAAAGCUAGGGGAGCGAAAGGG